GCCCCUGGAACUCUGGCCCAAGGCUCUCUGACUGACUCCUUCCCAGAUCUUCUCGGUUUAGCGGCUGAAGACUGACGCUGCCUGAUCGCCUCAGAAGCCCCGUAGACCAUCACGGACGCCGAGCUUUAAGUAACUCUCACAGUAGAAGACAGGAAUGUCAGGCCUCUGAGCCCAAGCUAAGCCAUCGUAUCCCCUGUGACCUGCACGUACACAUCCAGAUGGCCGGUUCCUGCCUUAACUGAUGACAUGCCACCAAAAAAGAAGUGAAAAUGGCCUGUUCCUGCCUUAACUGAUGACAUUGUCUUAUGAAAUUCCUUCUCCUGGCUCAUCCUGGCUCAAAAGCUCCCCUACUGAGCACCUUGUGACCCCCCCACUCCUGCCUGCCAGAGAACAACCCCCCUUUAUCCUUUACCUACCCAAAUUCUAUAAAACGGCCCCAACCCAUCUCCCUUCGAUGACUCUCUUUUGGAACUCAGCCUGCCUGCACCCAGGUGAAAUAAACAGCCUUGUUGCUCACACAAAGCCUGUUUGGUGGUCUCUUCACAGGG
Molecule: long non-coding RNA, 548 nt
Filed under: Homo sapiens (human)
Lineage: Eukaryota; Metazoa; Chordata; Mammalia; Primates; Hominidae
Description: HSALNT0373717
Source: RNAcentral